Molecule: long non-coding RNA, 971 nt
Organism: Alnus glutinosa
Lineage: Eukaryota; Viridiplantae; Streptophyta; Magnoliopsida; Fagales; Betulaceae
Exons: 3
Source: RefSeq, a predicted model, not a curated record
CAUCCAAUGCCAUGUGUCACUUUGUUGUGGCUUGGGAGAUGCCUUAUCUUUUGAUAUUAAUAAAAGAAAAGAAAAAGGAAAUAAGAAUAUGGGACAAGCCCAACCGGUCUUCCCCUCUCUCUUUUCUUUCACUUUUCUUUCUUUCUCUCCCUCUCUCCUCAGCGCAGCACUCACUCUCCCUAUUCUUUUUCUUUCUUUCCUUUUCCUUGCUUUCUCCUCUUUGUCACUCACGCAUGCACAAAACGCACUUGCCCCUGUUUCUUCAUGUUAGCCGAAACCCACAGCCCUUCCACUUCCUCUUCUUUUCUUCGGGUCACACGCAGCUUCCAUCUCUUCUUCUCUUCUCCUUCCUCUCGUCUUUCUCUCGCACCCACAAACCCGCACGUCACUUCCCCUUCCACAUUUUCUCUCCGUCACACACGCCCAUCCCAUGAGUGAGGCCGUGAGGUGUGAUUUUUGGAGUGGGUUGUUGGUGGGUUGGAGCUAAUGACACCGGUGAGGCUAGAAGUGGUGAUUUUCAGUGAUUUUCGUGGGUUUUGACUGCUGGAAGGGAAAUCAGAAACUGGAUCGUGUUCAAAUUGGAGAUUUUAAUUGGUUCUCCAAUGUAGAGUCCAAGUGACUAGAGUCCAAGGGAGUGUUCGAGUUGGAGUCCAAUGCAGCCAAGACGAUGUUUCUUUGGCUGCAGGUACUUCGGUAUAGUCGAUGGGUCGGUAGCAGUGUGCUUGGGAUAUUAUGACUGAAGCUCGCCGCAACAGUUGUAAUUGUGACGUUUGUGUCACUUAUUCUUUGUUAAGCCAUUAUUGUUAUAGUGUUAAUAAGACUCAAACAGAUAGAUGUUAAAUGGCUCUUUGUUGUAAUUAAUUUGUAAUAGAUGUAUAAGUUGUAAUUUCCGCUAUUCAAAUUUACGUUAUCCGCUGCAUAGAUAGAUGUAUGUUAUACUCUGAUUAUCAGGUACAUGUUAUGGGGCAUGU